This 497-nucleotide ribosomal RNA is filed under the name uncultured bacterium. Its description in RNAcentral is "partial 16S ribosomal RNA". It matches the Rfam family "Bacterial small subunit ribosomal RNA", at positions 28 to 507 of the family's 1533-position model. The record is from RNAcentral.
GACGAACGCUGGCGGCGUGCCUAAUACAUGCAAGUUGAGCGCUGAAGGUUGGUACUUGUACCAACUGGAUGAGCAGCGAACGGGUGAGUAACGCGUGGGGAAUCUGCCUUUGAGCGGGGGACAACAUUUGGAAACGAAUGCUAAUACCGCAUAAAAACUUUAAACACAAGUUUUAAGUUUGAAAGAUGCAAUUGCAUCACUCAAAGAUGAUCCCGCGUUGUAUUAGCUAGUUGGUGAGGUAAAGGCUCACCAAGGCGAUGAUACAUAGCCGACCUGAGAGGGUGGUCGGCCACAUUGAGACUGAGACACGGCCCAAACGCCUACGGGAGGCAGCAGUAGGGAAUCUUCGGCAAUGGACGAAAGUCUGACCGAGCAACGCCGCGUGAGUGAAGAGGGUUUUCGGAUCGUAAAACUCUGUUGGUAGAGAAGAACGUUGGUGAGAGUGGAAAGCUCAUCAAGUGACGGUAACUACCCAGAAAGGGACGGCUAACUACGUG